GACGAACGCUGGCGGCGUGCCUAAUACAUGCAAGUCGAACGCAGUGGGGACGGGUGAGUAACACGUGGGUAACCUCCCAUCAGAGGGGAUAACACUUGGAAACAGGUGCUAAACCGAUACUGAUGGAUGGACCCGCGGUGCAUUAGCUAGUUGGUGAGGUAACGGCUCACCAAGGCCACGAUGCAUAGCCGCCCGGAGAGGGGGACCGGCCACACGGGGACUGAGAAACGGCCCAAAUCCCUACGGGAGGCAGCAGUGGGAAAUCUUCGGAAAUGGACGAAAGUCUGACCGAGCAAGGCCGCGUGAGGGAAGAAGGUUUUCGGAUCGUAAAACUCUGUUGUUAGAGAAGCGGUAUCUAACCAGAAAGCCACGGCUAACUACGUGCCAGCAGCCGCGGUAAUUC
RNAcentral lists this ribosomal RNA (403 nucleotides) under uncultured bacterium. Its description in RNAcentral is "partial 16S ribosomal RNA". It matches the Rfam family "Bacterial small subunit ribosomal RNA", at positions 28 to 526 of the family's 1533-position model. The record is from RNAcentral.